GACGAACGCUGGCGGCGUGCUUAACACAUGCAAGUCGAACGGAAAGGCCCUGUUUGCAGGGUACUCGAGUGGCGAACGGGUGAGUAACACGUGGGUGAUCUGCCCUGCACUUCGGGAUAAGCCUGGGAAACUGGGUCUAAUACCGGAUAGGAGCCAUAUUUAGUGUGAUGGUUGGAAAGUUUUUUCGGUGUAGGAUGAGCUCGCGGCCUAUCAGCUUGUUGGUGGGGUAAUGGCCUACCAAGGCGGCGACGGGUAGCCGGCCUGAGAGGGUGGACGGCCACAUUGGGACUGAGAGACGGCCCAGACUCCUACGGGAGGCAGCAGUGGGGAAUAUUGCACAAUGGGCGCAAGCCUGAUGCAGCGACGCCGCGUGGGGGAUGACGGCCUUCGGGUUGUAAACUCCUUUCGCUAGGGACGAAGCUUUUUGUGACGGUACCUAGAUAAGAAGCACCGGCUAACUACGUG
Molecule: ribosomal RNA, 465 nt
Filed under: uncultured bacterium
Lineage: Bacteria
Description: partial 16S ribosomal RNA
Rfam family: Bacterial small subunit ribosomal RNA
Source: RNAcentral